This is a long non-coding RNA of Pogoniulus pusillus (Red-fronted tinkerbird), 335 nucleotides long. RefSeq lists it as uncharacterized. The record is from RefSeq and is a predicted model, not a curated record. NCBI's taxonomy places the organism in Eukaryota, Metazoa, Chordata, Aves, Piciformes, Lybiidae. The transcript has 2 exons.
UGUUCCAGCCCCCUCACCAGCUUCCUUGCCCUUCUCUGGACAUGUUCCACUAUCUCAACGUCUCUCUUGAAUUGAGAAGCCCAGAACUGGAGUGGCUGAGGGAGUUGGGGUUGCUCAGCCUGCAGAAGAGGAGGCUCAGAGGAGACCUUGUUGCUCUCUAUGACUACCUGAAAGGAGGUUGCAGCCAGCUCUGCACGGUUGGCCCUGGCACCAGAAAGACUAAAUGAAAAUGGACAGCUCCCAAUGGUAGAUGCUCUCCUAGAUCAAAGAGAAGAGAAAUUUUGUUUGUCUUCUAAAAUAAACAGUAUCUUUUCAGGUUCACGUGCUCCAAAGAA